CUCCAGAAAAGGAAUGUUCACACACCUUACUUCCUGUCCUAGUCCCAAGCCCAAAAAGAUGGACUUACUGGGGCUGGCUGUGGUGGAAUAAGAAAGUCUGCUCCAGAAGGAGCUACCUGAGGGGU
This is a small nucleolar RNA of Rattus norvegicus (Norway rat), 125 nucleotides long. Ensembl annotates it as small nucleolar RNA SNORD22. Lineage: Eukaryota; Metazoa; Chordata; Mammalia; Rodentia; Muridae. The record is from Ensembl.